Molecule: unclassified non-coding RNA, 507 nt
Filed under: uncultured Glomus
Lineage: Eukaryota; Fungi; Glomeromycota; Glomeromycetes; Glomerales; Glomeraceae
Description: SSU rRNA
Rfam family: Eukaryotic small subunit ribosomal RNA
Source: RNAcentral
AGCAGCCGCGGUAAUUCCAGCUCCAAUAGCGUAUAUUAAAGUUGCUGCAGUUAAAAAGCUCGUAGUUGAAUUUCGGGAUCAUCAUGUCGGUCGUGCCUCGGUACGUACUGGCAUUGUUGGUUUCUACCUUCUGACGAACCAUGAUGUCAUUUAUUUGGUGUCGUGGGAAAUCAGGACUGUUACUUUGAAAAAUUAGAGUGUUUAAAGCAGGCUCACGCUUGAAUACAUUAGCAUGGAAUAAUGAAAUAGGACGUUUGAUUCUAUUUUGUUGGUUUCUAGGAUCGACGUAAUGAUUAAUAGGGAUAGUUGGGGGCAUUAGUAUUCAAUUGUCAGAGGUGAAAUUCUUGGAUUUAUUGAAGACUAACUACUGCGAAAGCAUUUGCCAAGGAUGUUUUCAUUAAUCAAGAACGAAAGUUAGGGGAUCGAAGACGAUCAGAUACCGUCGUAGUCUUAACCAUAAACUAUGCCGACUAGGGACCGGAUGAUGUUAAUUUUAAUGACUCAUUC